Molecule: long non-coding RNA, 5901 nt
Organism: Rhineura floridana
Lineage: Eukaryota; Metazoa; Chordata; Lepidosauria; Squamata; Rhineuridae
Exons: 2
Source: RefSeq, a predicted model, not a curated record
CGGCCGCCAGGAGGAGGGGGGCUGGACGCUGGACGCUGGACGCUGGACUCCAGGCCAGGCUAGGCUCCUUUCGGCCCAACCGGCAGCGUCGAUGUCGAUGAUCGGCGGGCAGGCUUGCCCACCCCGCGCGUGCUAGCCUGGGGGGAACGCGCGCUCGGGAGCGCCUUGGGGCAAUCCUUGGGGAUGCGCGCCCGCGUUGGCACUCCCCGGUGCCUGCUCGGGUUGGCCCAUCCAAGUUCGCCGCCGCCACCCCGCCUGGCCGUUCCUUCGAGCGGCGUUCCCUGCGCCGGCGGGCACAUUUUGCUCGGCUUGCAAACGCCCCCCCCCCGCGCAGCUCUCUUCGUCCCUCCCUCUCUCCAGGGCAGAAGAACCUGUGGCUCCUCUAGAUGUUGCUGGAGUACACUUCCCAUUCUCCCUGACCGUUGGCCAUGCUGGCUGGGGCUGAUGGGAGUCCGGAGUCCGAUGCUUGAGGGUCACCGCCGCUCACCCACCUCUGCAUUAAGCAGAGAUGCUUUGAUUUAAAUUCCUGCAUUGAGCAGGGGGUUGGAUUCGAUGGCCUUAUAGGUCCCUUCCAACUCUACUAUUCUAUGAUUCUAUGCCUUCUGGAUUCCCUGCUAGCACAGCGGCAGAGCAUCUGCCCUGCAUGCAGAAGGGCCCAGGUUCAAUCCCCAGCAGGGCUGGGAGAGGCGCCUGCCUGAAACCCUGGCGAGCCGCUGCCAGUCAGUGCAGACUGCCCUUAGCUAGUUGGAUCGGUGGUGUGGCUCGCAGCUUCCUAUGUGUCGUACGUGCCACGCACCUUUGAGAAUACAAGUUGGCAGUGUUUUCCAAGAGCACUCUCAUUGGGUGUUCCUUGAGGGAAUGGGAAGGUUUGCACCCCCUACUCAGCUUGGCAUCACCUUCGGGGCAAGAGAUUUAGGUGGGCUGCACCACCCUUGGCAUUUCCUUGGAUUGCACGGGCUGGAAAAAAGAGUAGCUGGUAUCCCUUUCCAAGCGCAGCACCCUGGCAUUUCUUUCUGAUGGCCCAGUUUGGCAUCCUCUGGGAUGCUUGCACAGAUGGCACAUGAAGAGUUGCAGCUUAGGAACUUGGGGAUAUCCAAUGAAACUGAAUGUUGGAAGAUUCAAGGCAGACCAAAGAAAGGACUCCUUCACCCAGCGCAGAGUUGAGCUACAGGAUUCGCUCCCGCAAGAGGCAGCGAUGGCCACCAACGCAGAUGGCUUUGAAAGAGAAUUAGACACAUUCAUGGCGGAUAAGGCUAUCAGUGGCUACUGGCCAUGAUGGCUGUGCUCUGCCACCAUAAUCAGAGGUAAUCUGCUUCUGAAAACCAGUUGCUUGCGGGCUUCCCAUAAUGGGCAUCUGCCUGGCCACGGUGAGACCAGGACGCUGGAGUAGAUGGGCCACUGGCCUCAUCCAGCAGGCUGUUCUUAGGUUAAACAGAAUGUUGUGCGAUUCAGGACAGAUUAAAGAAAGGACUUUUUAUUGCAGUGCAUUGUCAACAGUCUGGAAUUUGCUCUACGAGAUGCAGUGAUGGCUACAGAUGGUUUUAAACAAGGAUUAGACAAAUGCAUGGAGGAUGAAGGUAUCCGUGGCUACUAGCCAUGAUGGCUUUGUUCUGCCUUUACUGCCCGAGGCAGUAGGCUUGGAAUGCCAGCUGUUGGAGACCGCAGGCGAGGAGAGUGCUGUGCUCAGGUCCUACUAGAGGGCUUCCCACGGUCAUCUGGUUGGCUGCUGUGUGAACAGGAUGUUGGACUAGACGGGCCACUGGCCUGAUCCAACAGGUGGUUCUUAUGUGUUUACGGAGCUGGGAUUCCACCCCUGUUGUCAGUCUUUCAAUGCCCCAUUUUGGCAUAGCCUCUCAGUGUGGUGGUUAGAUGCUCCUGGCAUUCGGUUUUUAGCAUGCAAACUUGGUCUCCGCAAGUCGGUCCCCACACAACAGCUAAGAAGAAAAUCAAGCUGCAGGUGGUGACAAUUCCAAAGCCUCUCUCCUUGACGCAAUGGCAAGCAGGGCUGGCAUCAGGCAGCUGCUGAGGCCCAUGUCUCUGAAGAUUGUUAUACAAAUGGCAGACUUUGGGGUUUCAGUGUCACACCUAGUUUUUUCUCUCACUCUCACCCUUGUUUUGUUUAACGUACAACAUGAAGAACCAUCCUGUAGAAUUCAAGAGCUUGCUCACUACUGUGAUGGGGGAUAGAUGGCUCAGCAAUACUACAUGUGAGAAGGAUCUUGGAAUCGUUGACCACAAGCUGAAUAUGAGCCAACAGUGUAAUGUGGCUGCAAAAAAGGCAAAUGCUAUUUUAAGCUGCAUUAAUAGUAUAGUAUCCAAAUCAUGUGAAGUACUAGUUCCCCUCUGUUCAGCACUGAUUAAGCCUCAUCUUGAGUACUGCGUCCAGUUCUGGAUACCACACUUUAAGAAGGAUGCAGAUAAACUGGAACAGAUUCAGAGGAGGGCAACGAUGAUCAGCAGACUGGAAACAAAGCCCUAUAAGGAGAGACUGAAAGAACUGGGCAUGUUUAGCCUUGAGACUGAGGGGAGAUAGGAUUGCACUGUUCAAGUCCUUGAAAGGUUGCCACACAGAGGAGGGCCAGGAUCUCUUCUUCAUCGUCCCAGAGUGCAGGACAUGGAAUAAUAGGCUCAAGUUGCAGAAAGUUAGAUUUUUGCUGAACAUCAAGAAAAGCUUCCUGUUAGAGUGGUAUGACAAUGGAACCAAUGACCUAGGGAGCUGGUGCGCUCUCCAACACUGGAGGCAUUCCAGAGGCAACUGGACAGCCACCUGAUGGGGAUGCUUUAAGCUGGAUUCCUGCAUUGAGUAGGGGGUUGGACUUGAUGGCCUUACAGGACCCUUCCAACUCUACUAUGAUUGUCUUGCUCCUUAUAAAGGUGGCUUUUGGAUUCCCACCCCCUCCCACAAUAACAGAUCAGCAUGGCUUGCCUACGUGUUUAGGUAUGAAGUCUGUCACUUUCCCCCCUCCCACUUCCUGGAGAAUUGAGCCCUUGGAUAACAUAACUGAUUGCUCUUUUUAGGCAGGGGAAGGGGGGAUCCUCAAAUCGGCUUCCCUCUUCCCCCAAGAUACCUACAUUUUAAGAUAGCUUGAUGAAAGACAAAUGGAUUCUAACUGGCCUAUGUUGCAGGACUAUUGCAAGGAUUAUGCAGUCAUAGAUAUACCCUUUCCAGAGGAGCAACUAAUUAUGUUUAUUCUAGCAAAUGCCCCCAAAAGAGCCUCCUGGCAGUCGGCACCUUCAAAGACUAACUAGCAGAUUCACUGUGGCAUAAACUUUUGCAGAUUACUAGACCCUACUCUGUCAAAUGCAGGUGUUGCAUCUGACAGGGGAUCCAACCUAGCCUACGCAAAUGUAUGCCACGGUAAAUCUGUCUGUUGGCCUUGAAGGUGUCCCCUCCCCCCCAAAUGUGCAGGAAGUACUUUGAACAGCAGAUAAGAGAAAAAUCAACGCAUUUGAAAUGUGGUGUUGGAGGAGAGCUUUACACAUACCAUGGAUUGCAAAAAAGACAAAUAAUUGGGUGUUAGAACAAACUAAACCAGAACUAUCACUAGAAGCCAAAAUAAUGAAACCAAGGUUAUCAUACUUUGGACACCUAAUGAGAAGACGUGAUUCGCUAGAAAAGACCAUAAUGCUGGGAAAAGCAGAAGGGAGUAGAAAAAGAGGAAGGCCAAACAAGAGAUGGAUUGAUUCCAUAAAGGAAGCCCAGACCCGAACUUACAAGAUCUGAACAGGGUGGUUUAUAAGAGAUGCUACUGGAGGUCGCUGAUUCAUAGGGUCUCCAUAAGUCGUAAUCAACUUGAAGGCAUAUAACAACAAGACUUACUGUGGUUCCUUGAUCUAUACUUAUUUUUACGGCUGCUCCCAGCUGGCAUCUGCCACUUCUGUGCCUUCCAGGCUGCAAUUCCACCCACCUUUGGGAAAGGAGGUAGAUGGGGGCACUGAUGUGCAUUGAAGCUUUUACCCUUUUCAGUUUUUCCCAAACUUGGGAGGGGUGGUGGUUCCUAAGCAGAAGCUGUUUAAGUAGUGGAGCAACCUUCCCAUUGCCUCUCUGAUAAUCUGCUUGUAGAGAAGUUCAGUUUUGAUUUGCCAGUCAUAGCACACGCACACAGAAAAAACACAGCAGUCCUGCAAAAGCAAAUCCUUUUUCAGAGCAAAUGUUAUGAAACGCCAACAGUGGUUAAACCCGUUACAGUCUUAUAAUCUCCUGUCCGAGGAUCCGAGUAACCGCGAUGGGAAAUUUGGCCACAAUCUCUGUGUUUGGCUUUAUUGCCUUAGCAAUAGUCUGAUGUUCACCACUUUGGGCACGCUCCUGAAAUGCACAGAGAAACUGUCUCAGGAUACAUUCAGAGAUAGAACAACGGUCCAGAAAAUGUAGUAUAUCCUCUUUUCGAUGUCAAGUUCAGACAUAGCCCUAAGAAGGGUGAAAGCUUUUCUUAAAAGGAAAUUUAUCCUGAUCCAAUCAAUAAGAUUCACACCCAUGAACUGUAAUGUACCUUGGUGCCAUUUUAGAAUUAGGGAAUGGCGACAAAUCACCUUGAGUAUAGAUGCUACCUAUCUAGGGGAACAGCCUUAGCUCGAUGGCAGAGCAACUACUUUCCAUGCAGGAGGUCCCGGGUUCAAUCCCCGACAGGUCCAGGUUGGGCUGAAAGAGACUCCUGUCUGAAAUCCUGGGGAGCUGCUUCCAGUCAGUGUAGACACUACUGGCCUAGAUGGACCAACGAUCUGACUCUGGAAGGCACCUUCCUACCUUCCCUAUGAUGCUCUGUCUUCUUAAAUGUAUACAUGCAAAAGGUUUAAAUCAAAGUCCAGGAAAAUGACCUACAGAAAACAAGAGGGCGGAGGGAGAAGUGGAAUGGAGUAUCCUGAAAGAAGGGCUGGCUGGCUGCAACACUGAACAGGUCUCACUUUUAAUCGAUAAUCUACUGAAGAACCCCAGAGGACCUUUACAUACUGCUUUCUGGGUCAUAUUCUAAGGCAGGGGGUGAUCUCUGGAUGUUGUUGACCUAGAAACCCCACCAUGGCAGAAGAUUGCCGGGGUUCUUUGUAAAUUGCUGGGAGGUCUUCUGUUGCGUACGCGGCUAUGUACAUUUUGUGAAAUAAAUUGAAAAGCCUAUCAACAUCGGCAAGGGCGUUAUAACUCGGCUGCCCCUGUUCUGUUAUGCUCCGUUCACACAAGAUGUUGAUCGUGCCCGUUUGGGCCUCAAUGGUACCUCUUGCAAAUUGCAAAGACUCACACACCUCGGCUGCACACGGCAAGGGAAGAGAAGGUGAUUGGUGGCCAAGUUGGCCGUCAGAGAAGCUGAUCCCAGUGUUGAUUUUCAUUACAGAUCAGCUUCCACCCCUGUGGAUUGGCUGAUAAAAAAGGAGUUCUGGUUUUCCCCAGAACACAGCUUGGAAAACCCGUAACAUUCUCUGCCUCCGGCUGUCUCUCUCUCUCCCAUCCCACGCAAGACAGAUCACACUCUGCUAUGCCAGAGAUGAAGCUACAUAAACAGGGGCUUCUCCCGGGAGGCCUUGUGUCCGCUCUGCUCCCAGGCUGGGACUCGAGGCUUGGAUUUCCCAGCGUCCUCCAGAGGCAUCUCCCCAGAGGCAUCUUUGCAUGCCACCCACUCUUGGCAACUCUAAAGAGCAAAUUAAAUGUCUCUCUGCAGAUCUUCAGGCCGGGAACUGAUCACAGGGUGAGGAGAGGCCUUCUCUGCUGCCAUCGUGACAUCUGUAGGGAAGAACUCCCUGUUUAAAUGUUCUGCUCGGCCUUUAGUUGGUUGGGGCUGCGUACAGUAGGGCCCCACUCAUACGGCGGGUCAUGUUCUGGACCCCCGCUGUAAAGCAAACACCACUGUAAAGCGGAACCCAUUGAAUAGAAUGGUGCGCGAUGCCCAGAAACCGCCGUAAAAGCGGAACAAG